GUUCUCCAAUAAUUCUUUAUUUCAUUGUCUGUUCUUCCAGGCAAGUGUUGUGCAAUUUUCGACCACCUUCACAGUUUCAAAAGAAGAUUAGCCUAAGAUCAUUCUUAUGUUUAUUGAAUUGCAGAAAGGAGGAAAGCCAGCAAAAAACCUGUUGCCCCAGCGAGAAUGGAGUUCAAGAAUCAAUAGCUGCUCUUCGAGGCUGAUGUUUCCUCGUUUGAUUUCUGGUCGCAUAUAGUUCAGCCAUCUCAAUCUGCAGCUUUUUCCGGAGCACAAUUGGACAAAUCAUACGAGUAUGAAUUGUGAAGACCAAAGAGACAGUCUAAUGGCAAAUAGAUAAAAAGAAAAAGGGUCUUCUUAUAGGGACAAGUUGUCUUUGUUUAUUAUUACGCAUAUGUCUAUUGUUUUCUUCUGAUAUGGUUUGCAACAUGUGAGAUGAUGAGACGACUUUGCUUACACCUUUUUGAAGGGCCAAGUAUUACUGCAAUCACGUCUAAUUCUAUUUGGUCUGUUUAGUUUAACGGUUGAAUUGAAUGAAAAAUUAAAAAUAAAGGAAGUAGUGAAAUUAAUUAUUUUAGGGACAAA
Long non-coding RNA from Gossypium arboreum, 582 nucleotides. RefSeq lists it as uncharacterized. Lineage: Eukaryota; Viridiplantae; Streptophyta; Magnoliopsida; Malvales; Malvaceae. The record is from RefSeq and is a predicted model, not a curated record. The transcript is spliced from 2 exons.